RNAcentral lists this transfer RNA (73 nucleotides) under Stegodyphus mimosarum. It matches the Rfam family "tRNA". From Rfam's summary of the family: Transfer RNA (tRNA) molecules are approximately 80 nucleotides in length. Their secondary structure includes four short double-helical elements and three loops (D, anti-codon, and T loops). The record is from Rfam by way of RNAcentral. Lineage: Eukaryota; Metazoa; Arthropoda; Arachnida; Araneae; Eresidae.
GCCUUCGUGGUGCAAUGGUCAGCACACCAGGCGCAUAUUCGAGAGGUCCGUGGUUCGAGUCCCGGCGAGGGCA